Molecule: ribosomal RNA, 443 nt
Filed under: uncultured bacterium
Lineage: Bacteria
Description: partial 16S ribosomal RNA
Rfam family: Bacterial small subunit ribosomal RNA
Source: RNAcentral
CCUACGGGCGGCAGCAGUGGGGAAUAUUGGGCAAUGGGCGCAAGCCUGACCCAGCAACGCCGCGUGAAGGAAGAAGGCUUUCGGGUUGUCAACUUCUUUUCUCAGGGACGAAGCAAGUGACGGUACCUGAGGAAUAAGCCACGGCUAACUACGUGCCAGCAGCCGCGGUAAUACGUAGGUGGCAAGCGUUAUCCGGAUUUACUGGGUGGAAAGGGGGUGGAGGCGGGAAAGCAAGUCAGAUGUGAAACCCAUGGGCUCAACCUGUGGCCUGCCUUUGAAACUGUUUUUCUUGAGUACUGGAGAGGCAGACGGAAUUCCUAGUGUAGCGGUGAAAUGCGUAGAUAUUAGGAGGAACACCAGUGGCGAAGGCGGUCUGCUGGACAGCAACUGACGCUGAGGCGCGAAGGCGUGGGGAGCAAACAGGAUUAGAUACCCCUGUAGUC